GAUGAAGAACGUAGCGAAAUGCGAUAAGUAAUGUGAAUUGCAGAAUUCAGUGAAUCAUCGAAUCUUUGAACGCGCAUUGCGUCCGCCAGUAUUCUGGCGGGCAUGCCUGUUCGAGCGUCAUUUCAACCAUCAAGCCCCAGGCUUGUGUUGGGGACCUGCGGCUGCCGCAGGCCCUGAAAACCAGUGGCGGGCUCGCUGUCACACCGGGCGUAGUAGAUUUUAUCUCGCUCUGGGCGUGCUGCGGGUUCCGGCCGUUAAAAAACCCUUUUAACCCAAGGUUGACCUCGGAUCAGGUAGGAAUACCCGCUGAACUUAAGCAUAUCAAUAAGCGGAGGA
RNAcentral lists this unclassified non-coding RNA (336 nucleotides) under soil metagenome. RNAcentral describes it as "partial contains 5.8S ribosomal RNA, internal transcribed spacer 2, and large subunit ribosomal RNA". The stretch from base 1 to 120 matches the Rfam family "5.8S ribosomal RNA", at positions 35 to 154 of the family's 154-position model. The record is from RNAcentral.